Molecule: long non-coding RNA, 72 nt
Organism: Xiphophorus hellerii (green swordtail)
Lineage: Eukaryota; Metazoa; Chordata; Actinopteri; Cyprinodontiformes; Poeciliidae
Exons: 3
Source: RefSeq, a predicted model, not a curated record
UGCUGGCCAUAGAAAAAAGAAGACAGAUUAGCUCGACUCGAACAAGUAGAAGCCACGAAUAAACUGGCAAAA